UAAAUACCAUGUAGGGAAGGCUGCGGAACGCCCUGCUGUACAGCUCCUCGUUAGUAUAGUGCUUACCAGCAUCUCCUGGCAGGGUAAAUUUUACACCAAUAUAUGGGCUGCCAGAAGGAAGCUGAAAGUCUACCAACCACCUCAAGGAAAUGAGCAAACAAGCAGGCACAGACAUGCUGGGCAGCCUUUGUUUCCUCUGGGCCAGCAACAUAAAAGACACUGAGUGAGGUGGGGUCUUGGUUUGUCCUGUUUCUGGCUGGAAGGACACAGCACUGCUCAGUGUGGAUCUUGUCACAGACACUGACUGGGACUUUGGAG
This is a long non-coding RNA of Pezoporus occidentalis (night parrot), 318 nucleotides long. RefSeq lists it as uncharacterized. The transcript has 3 exons. NCBI's taxonomy places the organism in Eukaryota, Metazoa, Chordata, Aves, Psittaciformes, Psittacidae. The record is from RefSeq and is a predicted model, not a curated record.